AUGAGAGCGGGCGAGGUCCCGGGCGAGGAGGCGGGUCCCUUUCCUCUGAUUGGCCGCCGCCGAGCUCGGUGGGCGGAGCAGGAAGGCGAAGCCGAAGAGGAGAGUCCGGCUCCCCAUCCUCGCCCAAGUGCAUCGCGGCCUUGGCGCCCCGUGAAGGGGAGGAGGAGAAGGGGGGGCGCAGAAGAGGGAAAGAUCCGGCAAAGUCUCUCCGGAUCCCAGGCCGGGGGGGUCCAUGGAUCGGGCGCGGCGGGCCGGGAGAGCCCCGGGGUGCAGGAUUCCCGCGCUAGGCCGGCUCUUCCCAGCCGGAGAAGGGAUCCGAUCCGGAGCAAACCCAUUUACACGGAGCCACCGCGCUCUCCAGCUCCGCCUCGACUAAAAACUUCCUCCGGCUUCCUUAGAUGCCUGCUGGGAACGAGACAAAUUCAUGCUUAUUAAUUUAAAAGCUCAGGUGGUGUACAUGGUCCCUUUUGCCCUCACCAUCCCCUGGUGCCCUACGGAGCAGGACUUGGGGGCCGGAGUCCAGGGCCCCCAUUCGAGCAGAAUGAGCAGGAGGGCCCUCAAACGCAGCAGGGCUGGCCCACCGCCUUUUGAAGUAAGUGAACCUCACACACGUUGCCUUGUCAAAGGGGGGAGAGGUGGGAUUAACAGGCCGUGAGAACGCCACAGAGUUUUCGCUCAAACGGUGCCGCUUGGUGUAGCAUUUUCCGGCUGUGCAGCUGAGGAAUUCUGGGAGCUGUAGUCCAGAGAAAAUAGACUUGUGCUGCGCUAAUUUUGUGCGAUUGCUGCCUGGGAACGAGAACAGGUGGGUUCAGUUGAGGAGUAGUGUCUGGCGGCACCGUGAGUGGAUCUAGAUCCUUUGGCAGUUUCUGGGCUUCAAAAACUGCCUGCUUUGGACUACAACCCCCAGAAUCCCUCAGCCAGCAUGGUAGUGGUGAAGGAGUGUUAGUCCAGAAACAUCUGGGGACCACUGGCUUAGAAUCAGGUUGAUCUUUUCAAAUUCCAUACUCUGUCUUAUGCCACACCAUGUCUUAUGUAGAGGGUUGUCUAGAAUAACCCAUCAUGACAGCUGCCCUCUUCAGUCCAUGGGUCUGAGGUGUGCAUGGAAGCAAAGCAAAGUGUGCUGCUUAUUUACUGCCCCAUAGCACUUAAAACACUCUGUAGGAGGUCUAUAAUUAUUCAGGCUACACGUAGGGAGAAAAGAGCUUGCCAGGUCUCUUCAAGAUAACAACCCAAUAAUGUACAGUGGUGCCUCGCUAGACAGUUACCCCCGCAUGACAAUUUUCUCACUAGACAUUGACUUUUUGCGAUUGCUAUAGCGAUUCACAAAACAGUGAUUCCUAUGGGGGAAUUUCGCUAGACAAUGUUUGGUCCCUGCUUCGCACACUGAUUUUCGCUAGACAACGAUUUUCACAGCUCCCUCCGUGCUCGCAAAAUG
Molecule: long non-coding RNA, 1435 nt
Filed under: Pogona vitticeps (central bearded dragon)
Lineage: Eukaryota; Metazoa; Chordata; Lepidosauria; Squamata; Agamidae
Description: lncRNA (ENSPVIG00000010827.1)
Source: RNAcentral